GUCAAGAUGUAAAAGAAGUAGAAGACGAGGAGUUUAUAUUUCCCAAUCGUCGAUUGGUUAGGACUCAGGAGGACGCUCUUUUUUAGAUACGUAAUAAUAUAGCGUCUCCCGAUUUUUGUCAAGAAACACUCGAAGAACCGUGGAUGAAUUGUUCCCAAUUGUGACAGUGGAUUCGCAAGGGUACUUUUUCAAUUUUGAGUGUUCUAAUUUUGAUGUUAUAUUGAAAUUAGAGAUAGUGUGUGUUUGUUAGCAGAUGUAAAUGUAUUUUUUUCAAUUUGAUUCUGAUUUUUUAUUUUCCUCAUUCAGAGGUCAUAAUGUCAUAUCAGCUACACACUAGGCAACAAAGUGCACAUCUAGAUAUUUGAAAACAAAUUGUCACAGUUUUGUUGGGCAUAAUAUUUUUCUGCAAAUUAAUUACCAA
This is a long non-coding RNA of Lactuca sativa (garden lettuce), 421 nucleotides long. RefSeq lists it as uncharacterized. The record is from RefSeq and is a predicted model, not a curated record. NCBI's taxonomy places the organism in Eukaryota, Viridiplantae, Streptophyta, Magnoliopsida, Asterales, Asteraceae.